This 407-nucleotide long non-coding RNA is filed under the name Rattus norvegicus (Norway rat). Its description in RNAcentral is "long non-coding RNA NONRATT012156". The record is from RNAcentral. Lineage: Eukaryota; Metazoa; Chordata; Mammalia; Rodentia; Muridae.
CUCUGCCACGUCCCUAUUCCUAUCUCUCCUCUCCCAAAUUCCCCCUUUCCGCCUGCUAACUCUCAGCCCCACGCCCACUCCCCAUUCUUCCACAUUCCUCCUCCCUCAAGCACCCUCCUGCGUCCCUGUAAUCCCAAACUCCGUUCCUCCUUUAUUUUUGUGCCUUUCUCAGAGUUCUGGCCCCUGCCUCCCGCCCUCAACUCCUUCCCAUCCCUUCUCCCUCAAGCCCUUCUCCAGCCCAGCCAGUCCUUUUCUGGAACCCCUCUCCACUGGCCCAACCCACGCCAGCCCCCCUCUUCCUGAACCCCCAACUCUAGCAGGAUCACAGUACCGCUUUCACCCUUAGAAAGCCUGUGUGUUUCCAUGCUUGGACGUUCGAGUUCCUCCAACAGCCUGGGUUGGCACAG